RNAcentral lists this ribosomal RNA (548 nucleotides) under Bifidobacterium pseudocatenulatum. RNAcentral's name for it is "bacterial SSU rRNA". It matches the Rfam family "Bacterial small subunit ribosomal RNA", at positions 145 to 703 of the family's 1533-position model. The record is from RNAcentral. Lineage: Bacteria; Bacillati; Actinomycetota; Actinomycetes; Bifidobacteriales; Bifidobacteriaceae.
UUCUCCUGGGAAAAAGGGUGGUAAUGCCGGAUGCUCCGACUCCUCGCAUGGGGUGUCGGGAAAGAUUUCAUCGGUAUGGGAUGGGGUCGCGUCCUAUCAGGUAGUCGGCGGGGUAACGGCCCACCGAGCCUACGACGGGUAGCCGGCCUGAGAGGGCGACCGGCCACAUUGGGACUGAGAUACGGCCCAGACUCCUACGGGAGGCAGCAGUGGGGAAUAUUGCACAAUGGGCGCAAGCCUGAUGCAGCGACGCCGCGUGCGGGAUGACGGCCUUCGGGUUGUAAACCGCUUUUGAUCGGGAGCAAGCCUUCGGGUGAGUGUACCUUUCGAAUAAGCACCGGCUAACUACGUGCCAGCAGCCGCGGUAAUACGUAGGGUGCAAGCGUUAUCCGGAAUUAUUGGGCGUAAAGGGCUCGUAGGCGGUUCGUCGCGUCCGGUGUGAAAGUCCAUCGCUUAACGGUGGAUCUGCGCCGGGUACGGGCGGGCUGGAGUGCGGUAGGGGAGACUGGAAUUCCCGGUGUAACGGUGGAAUGUGUAGAUAUCGGAAA